GUGAGGAAUUUUCCGCAAUGGGCGAAAGCCUGACGGAGCAAUGCCGCGUGAAGGAUGAAGGCCUAUGGGUUGUAAACUUCUUUUCUUAGAGAAGAAUAUUGACGGUAUCUGAGGAAUAAGCAUCGGCUAACUCUGUGCCAGCAGCCGCGGUAAGACAGAGGAUGAAAGCGUUCUCGGGAAUGAUUGGGCGUAAAGCGUCUGUAGGUGGCUUCAAAAGUCUCCUGUCAAAGAUGAGGGCUUAACCCUGGGACGGCAGGAGAAACUCUGAGGCUAGAGUUUGGUAGGGGCAGAGGGAAUUCCCGGUGGAGCGGUGAAAUGCGUAGAGAUCGGGAGGAACACCAAAGGCGAAAGCACUCUGCUGGGCCACAACUGACACUGAGAGACGAAAGCGAGGGGAGCAAAAGGGAUUAGAAACCCCUGUAGUCC
This 426-nucleotide ribosomal RNA is filed under the name uncultured bacterium. RNAcentral's name for it is "partial 16S ribosomal RNA". It matches the Rfam family "Bacterial small subunit ribosomal RNA", at positions 354 to 796 of the family's 1533-position model. The record is from RNAcentral.